UUUUAUGAGAGUUUGAUCCUGGCUCAGGACGAACGCUGGCGGCGUGCCUAAUACAUGCAAGUCGAACGCUUCUUUUUCCACCGGAGCUUGCUCCACCGGAAAAAGAGGAGUGGCGAACGGGUGAGUAACACGUGGGUAACCUGCCCAUCAGAAGGGGAUAACACUUGGAAACAGGUGCUAAUACCGUAUAACAAUCAAAACCGCAUGGUUUUGAUUUGAAAGGCGCUUUCGGGUGUCGCUGAUGGAUGGACCCGCGGUGCAUUAGCUAGUUGGU
Molecule: ribosomal RNA, 274 nt
Filed under: Enterococcus faecium
Lineage: Bacteria; Bacillati; Bacillota; Bacilli; Lactobacillales; Enterococcaceae
Also listed under: 1 other name
Description: partial 16S ribosomal RNA
Rfam family: Bacterial small subunit ribosomal RNA
Source: RNAcentral